UGCUUCUUAGCCUCCUGACUUAUUGGU
This 27-nucleotide small RNA is filed under the name Bombyx mori (domestic silkworm). RNAcentral describes it as "ovarian small RNA-34294". The record is from RNAcentral. Lineage: Eukaryota; Metazoa; Arthropoda; Insecta; Lepidoptera; Bombycidae.